GCGUAUGCACUUCGGUCUGACUGCGCAGGAUAGGUGGGAGGCUUGAAAGUUUCCUCGUGGGUAAGCUGGAGCCAUCGGUGAGAUACCACUCUGGUUGAGCUAGAAUUCUAACCUUCACCCGUAAACCGGGGAAGGGACACUUGCAGGCGGGCAGUUUGACUGGGGCGGUCGCCUCCUAAAAGGUAACGGAGGCGCGCAACGGUUCCCUCAGGCUGGUUGGAAAUCAGCCGCACAGUGGAAAGGCAAAAGGAAGCUUGACUGUAACACCUACAAGUGCAGCAGAGACGAAAGUCGGCCUUAGUGAUCCGACGGACCCUGAGUGAAGGCCUG
RNAcentral lists this ribosomal RNA (330 nucleotides) under Dactylococcopsis salina PAU-AU. RNAcentral describes it as "bacterial LSU rRNA". It matches the Rfam family "Bacterial large subunit ribosomal RNA", at positions 2113 to 2444 of the family's 2925-position model. The record is from RNAcentral. Lineage: Bacteria; Bacillati; Cyanobacteriota; Cyanophyceae; Nodosilineales; Cymatolegaceae.